AAAACCUUUUCUUUAU
This 16-nucleotide small RNA is filed under the name Arabidopsis thaliana (thale cress). RNAcentral describes it as "ATSL185790". The record is from RNAcentral. Lineage: Eukaryota; Viridiplantae; Streptophyta; Magnoliopsida; Brassicales; Brassicaceae.